RNAcentral lists this ribosomal RNA (774 nucleotides) under uncultured Neocallimastigales. Its description in RNAcentral is "partial large subunit ribosomal RNA". It matches the Rfam family "Eukaryotic large subunit ribosomal RNA", at positions 22 to 634 of the family's 3401-position model. The record is from RNAcentral. Lineage: Eukaryota; Fungi; Neocallimastigomycota; Neocallimastigomycetes; Neocallimastigales.
CAUAGCGACUAUCGUGGCAUAUCAAUAAGCGGAGGAAAAGAAACUAACAAGGAUUCCCUUAGUAACGGCGAGUGAAGCGGGAAGAGCUCAAAUUUGAAAUCUUCAAGGUUCUACCUUGACGAAUUGUAGUUUAUAGAAGUGUUUUCUGUUAGUAGGGUGGCAAAAGUUCUUUGGAAUAGGACAUCAUAGAGGGUGAGAAUCCCGUAUUUGACCGUUACUUUCCAGCUGUGUGAUACACUUUCAAAGAGUCGGAUUGUUUGGGAAUGCAGUCCAAAAUGGGUGGUAAAUUUCAUCUAAAGCUAAAUAUUGGCGAGAGACCGAUAGCGAACAAGUACCGUGAGGGAAAGAUGAAAAGAACUUUGAAAAGAGAGUUAAACAGUACGUGAAAUUGUCAAAAGGGAAGCGUUUGACACCAGUGUUGUUUAUCGAAAAUCAAUUAAAAAAGGCCGGAUUUUGUGUUGUAUUGACCUUAAAAGCUUUCUUCACUCUUUUCUUGUCUUUUUUAAUGCACUUUUCGUUUAACAAGUCAACAUCAGUUUCUUUUGUUGUAAAAGGGUCAUUGGAAGGUGGCUUUCUUUUCGGAGAAAGUGUUUAUAGCCUUUGAUCUCUGCAACCGGAGAGACUGAGGUCUGCAGCGUAGACUCUUCGGGGUUAGAUACAUUUGUGCUAAGCUAUAGCUUUUUAUAGACAACUUGUUGACUAUAUUUAGUCUUGUGGCUUACUCGCUUAUGCUAUUUUACCUACGCUUAGGAUGUUGAUAGUCACAGCGUGUAC